RNAcentral lists this long non-coding RNA (217 nucleotides) under Phaseolus vulgaris (common bean). RNAcentral's name for it is "long non-coding RNA (PVUL_LNC003225)". Lineage: Eukaryota; Viridiplantae; Streptophyta; Magnoliopsida; Fabales; Fabaceae. The record is from RNAcentral.
GAAAUUCUCUACCUGUUCUUCAUCGGGGCUGUCGGAGAGAGAGGUUCCUUCCUAACACAUUGAAAAUUUAGUAAUUAUGAGGUCCCGGAGGAGGAGACAAAUAGGUAGUUUUGUGCACUUACAGUUCUAUGGACAGUGCAGCAAGUUGUUAUCGUAACAUAGAGAGGCAAGUUAGUUUACACUUUAUGUAAUUUUGGAGUUGACACUUUGAUUCAGG